GUGCUCAAUUCAGCAGCACAUAUACUAAAAAUUGGAACAAUACAGAGAAUAUUAAUAUGGCCACUGAGCAAGGAUGACACUCAAGUUCAUGAAGCAUUUAAUAUUUCU
Hippopotamus amphibius kiboko is the source of this 108-nucleotide small nuclear RNA. The record is from RefSeq and is a predicted model, not a curated record. NCBI's taxonomy places the organism in Eukaryota, Metazoa, Chordata, Mammalia, Artiodactyla, Hippopotamidae.